UGGGGAAUUUUGGACAAUGGGGGAAACCCUGAUCCAGCCAUCCCGCGUGUGCGAUGAAGGCCUUCGGGUUGUAAAGCACUUUUGGCAGGAAAGAAACGUCAUGGGUUAAUACCCCGUGAAACUGACGGUACCUGCAGAAUAAGCACCGGCUAACUACGUGCCAGCAGCCGCGGUAAUACGUAGGGUGCAAGCGUUAAUCGGAAUUACUGGGCGUAAAGCGUGCGCAGGCGGUUCGGAAAGAAAGAUGUGAAAUCCCAGAGCUCAACUUUGGAACUGCAUUUUUAACUACCGGGCUAGAGUGUGUCAGAGGGAGGUGGAAUUCAGCGUGUAGCAGUGAAAUGCGUAGCUAUGCGGAGGAACACCGAUGGCGAAGGCAGCCUCCUGGGAUAACACUGACGCUCAUGCACGAAAGCGUGGGGAGCAAACAGG
Molecule: ribosomal RNA, 429 nt
Filed under: Acidobacteriota bacterium
Lineage: Bacteria; Pseudomonadati; Acidobacteriota
Description: Acidobacteria bacterium partial 16S ribosomal RNA
Rfam family: Bacterial small subunit ribosomal RNA
Source: RNAcentral